GUGACCUUUUCCAUACAGCGUGAUGGCUUUUUUGGUGAACUGAUUCUUCCUUUCUGGUCAGGGCUAAUUCCUAUAGAAAAAACAGACAGCAAAAGACAACAGCAAGAGCAAUGCUUUGUCUCAUCCAUGUGUACAAUAGAUGGUAUAUGGCAAGCUUAGGACAUUGUCAAAUGGUGUGCUAAACCUCAAUUCCAGAAACCGAUUGUAAGGAGGAAUCUGCAUCUGGUAUUGGUAGUAAGGAGAUGCCUUAAAUGGGUGACCUUUUCCAUACAGCGUGAUGGCUUUUUUGGUGAACUGAUUUUUCUUGUCUGGUCAGGGCUAAUUACUAUAGAAAAAACAGACAG
Long non-coding RNA from Lingula anatina, 344 nucleotides. Lineage: Eukaryota; Metazoa; Brachiopoda; Lingulata; Lingulida; Lingulidae. The record is from RefSeq and is a predicted model, not a curated record.